This 141-nucleotide ribosomal RNA is filed under the name uncultured eukaryote. Its description in RNAcentral is "partial 18S ribosomal RNA". It matches the Rfam family "Eukaryotic small subunit ribosomal RNA", at positions 1299 to 1458 of the family's 1831-position model. The record is from RNAcentral.
UGGUGGAGUGAUUUGUCUGGUUAAUUCCGAUAACGAACGAGACCUUAACCUGCUAAAUAGUCACGCUAACCUUCGGGUUGGUGCUAUGACUUCUUAGAGGGACUAUCGAUGUUUAAUCGAUGGAAGUUUGAGGCAAUAACA